RNAcentral lists this unclassified non-coding RNA (267 nucleotides) under Hevea brasiliensis (rubber tree). Lineage: Eukaryota; Viridiplantae; Streptophyta; Magnoliopsida; Malpighiales; Euphorbiaceae. The record is from RNAcentral.
CGAUAAUAGUAGUACUGGUUAAAUUAAGUAAAAAGUAUUAACCCAUCUAAAAAAAGCCUAACAUUAUUCUUAUGGUAAUAGGUUUGGUAUAUAAAAAUAAUGUAUAUGCAUAUUCUUUUAAAAUCUUUUUUAAUUAUUAAAAUAAAUUAAAUAUAUUGUAAAUGAAGGAGCCGUAUGUGUCUAAGAUGAGAGUUGCGGAGAUAAGAAUGUUAAGGUGGAUAAAUGGUCAUACUAGAUUAAAUAGAGUCCGUAAUGAGAGUAUUAGAG